Molecule: ribosomal RNA, 2901 nt
Filed under: Escherichia coli
Lineage: Bacteria; Pseudomonadati; Pseudomonadota; Gammaproteobacteria; Enterobacterales; Enterobacteriaceae
Description: bacterial LSU rRNA
Rfam family: Bacterial large subunit ribosomal RNA
Source: RNAcentral
UUAAGCGACUAAGCGUACACGGUGGAUGCCCUGGCAGUCAGAGGCGAUGAAGGACGUGCUAAUCUGCGAUAAGCGUCGGUAAGGUGAUAUGAACCGUUAUAACCGGCGAUUUCCGAAUGGGGAAACCCAGUGUGAUUCGUCACACUAUCAUUAACUGAAUCCAUAGGUUAAUGAGGCGAACCGGGGGAACUGAAACAUCUAAGUACCCCGAGGAAAAGAAAUCAACCGAGAUUCCCCCAGUAGCGGCGAGCGAACGGGGAGCAGCCCAGAGCCUGAAUCAGUGUGUGUGUUAGUGGAAGCGUCUGGAAAGGCGCGCGAUACAGGGUGACAGCCCCGUACACAAAAAUGCACAUGCUGUGAGCUCGAUGAGUAGGGCGGGACACGUGGUAUCCUGUCUGAAUAUGGGGGGACCAUCCUCCAAGGCUAAAUACUCCUGACUGACCGAUAGUGAACCAGUACCGUGAGGGAAAGGCGAAAAGAACCCCGGCGAGGGGAGUGAAAAAGAACCUGAAACCGUGUACGUACAAGCAGUGGGAGCCUCUUUAUGGGGUGACUGCGUACCUUUUGUAUAAUGGGUCAGCGACUUAUAUUCUGUAGCAAGGUUAACCGAAUAGGGGAGCCGAAGGGAAACCGAGUCUUAACUGGGCGUUAAGUUGCAGGGUAUAGACCCGAAACCCGGUGAUCUAGCCAUGGGCAGGUUGAAGGUUGGGUAACACUAACUGGAGGACCGAACCGACUAAUGUUGAAAAAUUAGCGGAUGACUUGUGGCUGGGGGUGAAAGGCCAAUCAAACCGGGAGAUAGCUGGUUCUCCCCGAAAGCUAUUUAGGUAGCGCCUCGUGAAUUCAUCUCCGGGGGUAGAGCACUGUUUCGGCAAGGGGGUCAUCCCGACUUACCAACCCGAUGCAAACUGCGAAUACCGGAGAAUGUUAUCACGGGAGACACACGGCGGGUGCUAACGUCCGUCGUGAAGAGGGAAACAACCCAGACCGCCAGCUAAGGUCCCAAAGUCAUGGUUAAGUGGGAAACGAUGUGGGAAGGCCCAGACAGCCAGGAUGUUGGCUUAGAAGCAGCCAUCAUUUAAAGAAAGCGUAAUAGCUCACUGGUCGAGUCGGCCUGCGCGGAAGAUGUAACGGGGCUAAACCAUGCACCGAAGCUGCGGCAGCGACGCUUAUGCGUUGUUGGGUAGGGGAGCGUUCUGUAAGCCUGUGAAGGUGUGCUGUGAGGCAUGCUGGAGGUAUCAGAAGUGCGAAUGCUGACAUAAGUAACGAUAAAGCGGGUGAAAAGCCCGCUCGCCGGAAGACCAAGGGUUCCUGUCCAACGUUAAUCGGGGCAGGGUGAGUCGACCCCUAAGGCGAGGCCGAAAGGCGUAGUCGAUGGGAAACAGGUUAAUAUUCCUGUACUUGGUGUUACUGCGAAGGGGGGACGGAGAAGGCUAUGUUGGCCGGGCGACGGUUGUCCCGGUUUAAGCGUGUAGGCUGGUUUUCCAGGCAAAUCCGGAAAAUCAAGGCUGAGGCGUGAUGACGAGGCACUACGGUGCUGAAGCAACAAAUGCCCUGCUUCCAGGAAAAGCCUCUAAGCAUCAGGUAACAUCAAAUCGUACCCCAAACCGACACAGGUGGUCAGGUAGAGAAUACCAAGGCGCUUGAGAGAACUCGGGUGAAGGAACUAGGCAAAAUGGUGCCGUAACUUCGGGAGAAGGCACGCUGAUAUGUAGGUGAAGUCCCUCGCGGAUGGAGCUGAAAUCAGUCGAAGAUACCAGCUGGCUGCAACUGUUUAUUAAAAACACAGCACUGUGCAAACACGAAAGUGGACGUAUACGGUGUGACGCCUGCCCGGUGCCGGAAGGUUAAUUGAUGGGGUCAGCGCAAGCGAAGCUCUUGAUCGAAGCCCCGGUAAACGGCGGCCGUAACUAUAACGGUCCUAAGGUAGCGAAAUUCCUUGUCGGGUAAGUUCCGACCUGCACGAAUGGCGUAAUGAUGGCCAGGCUGUCUCCACCCGAGACUCAGUGAAAUUGAACUCGCUGUGAAGAUGCAGUGUACCCGCGGCAAGACGGAAAGACCCCGUGAACCUUUACUAUAGCUUGACACUGAACAUUGAGCCUUGAUGUGUAGGAUAGGUGGGAGGCUUAGAAGUGUGGACGCCAGUCUGCAUGGAGCCGACCUUGAAAUACCACCCUUUAAUGUUUGAUGUUCUAACGUUGACCCGUAAUCCGGGUUGCGGACAGUGUCUGGUGGGUAGUUUGACUGGGGCGGUCUCCUCCUAAAGAGUAACGGAGGAGCACGAAGGUUGGCUAAUCCUGGUCGGACAUCAGGAGGUUAGUGCAAUGGCAUAAGCCAGCUUGACUGCGAGCGUGACGGCGCGAGCAGGUGCGAAAGCAGGUCAUAGUGAUCCGGUGGUUCUGAAUGGAAGGGCCAUCGCUCAACGGAUAAAAGGUACUCCGGGGAUAACAGGCUGAUACCGCCCAAGAGUUCAUAUCGACGGCGGUGUUUGGCACCUCGAUGUCGGCUCAUCACAUCCUGGGGCUGAAGUAGGUCCCAAGGGUAUGGCUGUUCGCCAUUUAAAGUGGUACGCGAGCUGGGUUUAGAACGUCGUGAGACAGUUCGGUCCCUAUCUGCCGUGGGCGCUGGAGAACUGAGGGGGGCUGCUCCUAGUACGAGAGGACCGGAGUGGACGCAUCACUGGUGUUCGGGUUGUCAUGCCAAUGGCACUGCCCGGUAGCUAAAUGCGGAAGAGAUAAGUGCUGAAAGCAUCUAAGCACGAAACUUGCCCCGAGAUGAGUUCUCCCUGACUCCUUGAGAGUCCUGAAGGAACGUUGAAGACGACGACGUUGAUAGGCCGGGUGUGUAAGCGCAGCGAUGCGUUGAGCUAACCGGUACUAAUGAACCGUGAGGCUUAACCUU